Molecule: long non-coding RNA, 228 nt
Filed under: Elaeis guineensis (African oil palm)
Lineage: Eukaryota; Viridiplantae; Streptophyta; Magnoliopsida; Arecales; Arecaceae
Description: long non-coding RNA (EGUI_LNC070565)
Source: RNAcentral
AUACCAUGAUCUCUAUCAUAGGUAUCACUGAAACUUCUUUCAGUAGAUUAAAAUAAUUCUACUCUAACUCGACAAGGAUCAUUGAACUAAAAUGAUCCUAUUGAGCUCUCACAAUCUAUCAGUGAUAUCUAGCAAUAUGUAGUGGCAACCUAGCAGAAUCGAAAUAGAAUCUUUAGGUGUAGUUAAUAUAUGAUAUAGUCCCUCUAUCGUGAGUUCCAACUAGAUGGC